CUGUCCUAACGGAUGGCUAAUACCGCAUAUGUUCCCGGCGUCAAGUCGGGAGUAAAGCCUUCGGGCGCUUGGAGAUGGGCCUGCGGCGGAUUAGCUAGUUGGUGGGGUAACGGCCUACCAAGGCGAUGAUCCGUAGGGGGCGUGAGAGCGUGGCCCCCCACACUGGCACUGAGAUACGGGCCAGACUCCUACGGGAGGCAGCAGUGAGGAAUAUUGCACAAUGGGCGCAAGCCUGAUGCAGCAACGCCGCGUGCGGGACGAAGGCCUUCGGGUCGUAAACCGCUUUUCUGGGGAAAGAGCAAGGACGGUACCUCAGGAAUAAGUCUCGGCUAACUACGUGCCAGCAGCCGCGGUAAAACGUAGGAGGCGAGCGUUAUCCGGAUUUACUGGGCGUAAAGCGCACGCAGGCGGCUCCGUGAGUCGGACGUGAAAGCUCUCGGCUUAACCGGGAGAGGCCGUUCGAUACUGCGGGGCUUGAGGUAGGGAGAGGAAUGCGGAAUUCCCGGUGUAGUGGUGGAAUGCGUAGAUAUCGGGAAGAACACCUGUGGCGAAAGCGGCAUUCUGGCCCUCACCUGACGCUGAGGUGCGAAAGCGUGGGUAGCAAACAGGAUUAGAUACCCUGGUAGUCCACGCCGUAAACGAUGUCAACUGGGUGUCGGUAGUUUUACACUAGCGGUGCCGAAGCUAACGCG
RNAcentral lists this ribosomal RNA (692 nucleotides) under uncultured bacterium. Its description in RNAcentral is "bacterial SSU rRNA". It matches the Rfam family "Bacterial small subunit ribosomal RNA", at positions 147 to 859 of the family's 1533-position model. The record is from RNAcentral.